Molecule: ribosomal RNA, 492 nt
Filed under: uncultured bacterium
Lineage: Bacteria
Description: partial 16S ribosomal RNA
Rfam family: Bacterial small subunit ribosomal RNA
Source: RNAcentral
AGUGAACGCUGGCGGUAGGCCUAACACAUGCAAGUCGAACGGCAGCACAGUAAGAGCUUGCUCUUACGGGUGGCGAGUGGCGGACGGGUGAGGAAUACAUCGGAAUCUACUUUUUCGUGGGGGAUAACGUAGGGAAACUUACGCUAAUACCGCAUACGACCUACGGGUGAAAGCAGGGGAUCUUCGGACCUUGCGCGAUUGAAUGAGCCGAUGUCGGAUUAGCUAGUUGGCGGGGUAAAGGCCCACCAAGGCGACGAUCCGUAGCUGGUCUGAGAGGAUGAUCAGCCACACUGGAACUGAGACACGGUCCAGACUCCGACGGGAGGCAGCAGUGGGGAAUAUUGGACAAUGGGCGCAAGCCUGAUCCAGCCAUACCGCGUGGGUGAAGAAGGCCUUCGGGUUGUAAAGCCCUUUUGUUGGGAAAGAAAAGCAGCAGGUUAAUACCCCGCUGUUAUGACGGUACCCAAAGAAUAAGCACCGGCUAACUUCGUG